Molecule: long non-coding RNA, 1107 nt
Organism: Dreissena polymorpha
Lineage: Eukaryota; Metazoa; Mollusca; Bivalvia; Myida; Dreissenidae
Exons: 16
Source: RefSeq, a predicted model, not a curated record
GACACAAUUCUCUGUAUGUGCACUUGCCAUGACUUUAUUUUUGAAUAUUUCUGUGUGCAUAUGGUAGGGAAAACAUUGUUGUAUACUACAAAUUCAGUGUUUUGCUUAUAGGUUGGAGACUACAUGAGAUUUUGACAGAUGGCGGGAAACCCUCAUCAACUGGAGAUCAGCCGGUAGAGGAAUGUCUGCGACUAAGCCGAGGGCCACUGCAUAAGGGUUAUUGAUGGCAAAACAGGUAGAGGAAUGUCUGCGACUAAGCCGAGGGCCACUGCAUAAGGGUUAUUGAUGGCAAAACAGGUUGGAGACUACAUGAGAUUUUGGCAGAUGGCGGGAAACCCUCAUCAACUGGAGAUCAGCCGGUAGAGGAAUGUCUGCGACUAAGCCGAGGGCCACUGCAUAAGGGUUAUUGAUGGCAAAACAGGUUGGAGACUACAUGAGAUUUUGGCAGAUGGCGGGAAACCCUCAUCAACUGGAGAUCAGCCGGUAGAGGAAUGUCUGCGACUAAGCCGAGGGCCACUGCAUAAGGGUUAUUGAUGGCAAAACAGGUUGGAGACUACAUGAGAUUUUGACAGAUGGCGGGAAACCCUCAUCAACUGGAGAUCAGCCGGUAGAGGAAUGUCUGCGACUAAGCCGAGGGCCACUGCAUAAGGGUUAUUGAUGGCAAAACAGGUUGGAGACUACAUGAGAUUUUGACAGAUGGCGGGAAACCCUCAUCAACUGGAGAUCAGCCGGUAGAGGAAUGUCUGCGACUAAGCCGAGGGCCACUGCAUAAGGGUUAUUGAUGGCAAAACAGGUUGGAGACUACAUGAGAUUUUGACAGAUGGCGGGAAACCCUCAUCAACUGGAGAUCAGCCGGUAGAGGAAUGUCUGCGACUAAGCCGAGGGCCACUGCAUAAGGGUUAUUGAUGGCAAAACAGGUUGGAGACUACAUGAGAUUUUGACAGAUGGCGGGAAACCCUCAUCAACUGGAGAUCAGCCGGUAGAGGAAUGUCUGCGACUAAGCCGAGGGCCACUGCAUAAGGGUUAUUGAUGGCAAAACAGGUUGGAGACUACAUGAGAUUUUGACAGAUGGCGGGAAACCCUCAUCAACUGGAGAUCAGCCGGUUA